UUUAUUUUGGCGGUAGAUCUAUAGUCUUGUUUUUUGUUUUUCUAAGAAGAAAUACGAAUUAAUCUAGGCCCUUUAUGAACGCCCCCCCCGCUGGUGACACUCGCCUUUAGCACCUUUAGUGUCGUGACUAGUCAACUGCGCGAGAGAGGUGAUAACGAGGCGGCGACUAGAGUUAAAAUCGGGCGAUAAGCCCCGCUGUUCUCCACAAGUUUAUCGGCUCUCCCUUGGCCAAGACUCAUGGGUCCGGCCAAAUCUUACCAGCAAUGCAGUUUCGGCAACGGGCAGCCUGGGUCGUACUCUUCCUCUAUCUCGGCUGCGGAUUCCUCUGCCUGACUCAGUUAUUCCAACUGAGGAACGGCGGAACUCUCUUGCGCGUUCAGGUUACCAGCAGAGCUCCAGCCACUAAGUUCGUGCGAAGCAAUGUUUCGAGCACGGUGCUUGUCGUCUUUGCGAUUUCCUCUAUGUGCAGGGAUUCGCAGUACUGCUGGCUUGUACAAAGACGGACACGAAGUUCCGCAUGGUGAACAGCAUGUUUCCAUUUCUGCUGUGCACUAUGUGGACGACGUUUCGGAGGAAACCGACACGCAAUGGCGGCAACAAAUUGGACGUCGAAGCAGAGCCAUUUGAACUCCCAGUGUAAUAUCCCCGGACACUCAAGAGCGGUUUAGAUUGCCAUCGACUUCAAUCAGGAUAGAAAUUAUCUAUCGCAGUUAUCUGCGGCCUCUGCAGAUGAACCACUUGUGUUUGCAAAAUUUGAUCCUGACCAACUGUCUGUUUUGACUGAUGCAUCGAUUUUACACAGUGUAUUAUUGUGGGCAUUCGCAGAAUUGCUCCAUGCAUUCCUUUGAGCUACUUGCGUGGUCACCCAUGUCUGAUCCAAUCGGCACAAAGAUGGAAUUCAUGAACGGUCGUGUACUUGAUCUAACGUCAGUACAGUUCAGGUUAAACAGAAUGUACGCCGGCUUUUAAGCAUUGACAAGCACACCGUGCGCAUGCAUUUUGUUAAAUCGACUGAUUUACGAGAUGGCCAGACUUGCUUGCUUAUGGAAUCUUUCAUGUGAGGCAGCAUUUAUGGGAAACUUACAGGCCACCAUUUAAGAGCUUGUUUACACAGAGCGCCAUAAUCCACGAAUACACAAAUGUGUCAUUUGAGCUAUUUAUACACGUGCCUUAGAACAAGUGCAAUAUGUUUUUACUUGUUUGUGCUAUGUCCUAGAAUGAAUAAUUAUAUAGUGAGAUUUACACCCUAUUCACAAAUGCUCCUCUUCUCAAAUUUCGUCCUUCACUUGACAGAACUGAGCACUGCACUGCUGCUUGACCAAAAAUGACUUGCUCUGCCUAGAGAUGACACCCCUAUAGACUUUCUCCGGUCUAGGUGAAGUGUUGAGUGAAGGGACAUUCUAGAAUACGGGGAACACUUCUCAUGAGUGCAUGUGCGAAUUCUCUUCAAAUGCUCUGCUUUGUGUGUUAUACGUAGCUUCUAAAUGCAAACUGGCUUUGAUAUUUAAAUCUCUUAAAAAAAUUGCAUUAAAAACGUACAUAUAACUCUCGUGGUUCAUUGCAAACCAAAUGCAAUUUUCUACUAGUGAGAAUGCUAGUACCUCUCGUUACUUAUUGUCAGCCAGUCUAAGGUACUGUUCACAUAUUUCAACGCUUCUGCAUUAACUCAAACUUUAAAUAACAGCAAAUCCGCAAAAUUGUUUUAAUGCACAAUGAAGAAAAGUUGGCAUGCUAUAUUAGCUGGCUCAUCCUUUCCCAUGAUACAUUUGUGUAAAAGCACAGAAAUGUUUCACAACCUAUCACUAGCUUUAAAACAAUGCUCCCCACAUUGCAGUGAAACUGGAUCUGUGGACAAAACUUGUCAAACUCACGGUAACCACGUCUGAUAUUUAAAAUUUGUGUGGAGCCAGGAAAACGUGCAGAAAUGAAAUAUGCCGAGCUUAGCUAAUUGAAUUGCACUGUAGAUGCUAGUUUUUUUAUAUGUCAAUGUUUUUAGUUGUUAAUGAGUGUUUGCGAUGCCCUCUACAACGCAUCUGUAUUCAGUACUUACUCCUGCAUAUGAAAGAAAAACAGAAAGAAUACUUUGAAAGAAGUGUGUCUCAAACAUUUAUGUUUAUAUUGUAAUUAGCUUUUAAUAUUACCUUCGGCUGACCUCAACAUUUACGUCGGAUCACUGCAGCACAAGCAGCUACACGUGGAAUCGCCAUCGCUUGCUGUCAUUGAAAAAUAGCCGAUCGCAUCUUCGCAGCACAACUGGCAACAUUUUGCUCUUUUGACAGUAAAUAUUCGUACAGUGUGCGACUUGUUACCAUUUGUAACUUGCAAGGCAUCAGUCAUAAAUCAUUUUUAUCGUUAUGAGCCAAAGUUACAACGCAUCAUCGCUACAUUUCUGUCGCGAGUUCCAUCUCAUCGCAUUUUCCUACAAACAGCCAACCUACCAUACUAAAAAGUGUCACUUAUAUUUUGUUUACGCGGUUUUUCUUUGUGGUGCAUGAUGCUGACUGAAUGCUAGACUGCACAUUUUUCAAUUUGCCACAAGACCAUGUGUUGUUGAGAUGCCAAAUACGCCCGUGCUACCAAUUUACGGUUGAACGCUGAGGUAAUGAAUUGGAAUGUAGCGAAGUCUGAAAUGUCUCCAAUAUUUGUGUGCACAGCAUGCAUGCACUUAUACUAAAUAUGAGAUCACAGUUUGUGCUGGACUUCAAUUCUUUACGUUAUGGUACCCCAGUAGUCAUAAGUAUAGUCAUGAAUUUCGUAGUUUGCGCUGCUUUUAUAGAGCCAUACCAACUAAGUUGUCAACUUUGCUGCUGUCAUGCAUUUAGUCAUGCGAGAUGUACAAAGCAAUUGUGAUAUGCGACAGUUGUCAUGACAAAAGCCAAAUAAAGAAAUGAGUCAUUGAUUUAUUUUCUUGAA
Rhipicephalus microplus (southern cattle tick) is the source of this 2913-nucleotide long non-coding RNA. Lineage: Eukaryota; Metazoa; Arthropoda; Arachnida; Ixodida; Ixodidae. The record is from RefSeq and is a predicted model, not a curated record.